This is a long non-coding RNA of Oncorhynchus nerka (sockeye salmon), 1107 nucleotides long. RefSeq lists it as uncharacterized. NCBI's taxonomy places the organism in Eukaryota, Metazoa, Chordata, Actinopteri, Salmoniformes, Salmonidae. The transcript is spliced from 3 exons. The record is from RefSeq and is a predicted model, not a curated record.
AGAUACAGAGGGUUUGAGCUGACAAGCGCGAGAGCUGCUGCUACUUCAUCUGAAACAGCAAAUGCAAAAGAAAGGAAGGCUUCGUCAUUAUGGAACGGACAUUCACGCGUAGCCUACUGCCCAAUGUAAAGAAACAAUAGUUGAUCAACAUUUUAAGGCUAAAGGUUUUGAUCUGUCGCAUCAGACUCAUUGCUUUUUUAAUGUGUUUUUUUUAGCCUACUGGUUGUAUGAAUUCGGGAUCUAUCGUCCCAUAACUGUCCCAGAGUCUGUUUGGAAUAGGCUAUUUCUUUCUCGACAAGUUGACCACAAUAGAAUAGGUCCGUUUUUCUCCUAUGGGGAAUAGCAGAAACCCCAAACAGCAUAGGCUAGUGAUUUAUCUAUUCGUUACUCGUCUUGUUGGCUGAGGAAAAGUACACGUGGACGGUUAUUCUGACAUCUUCAAAGUGCACAUCAAAGUGACAAUUAGGGUAAGAAGGAAAACACAUCGUUGCAUCCUGACUUACAUGUUCUGUUAAUAUAAAUGACCAUAAUCUAAAUGUGAUUUCUGUCAUCCUGAGCACCGUGGGUGGACGCCCUAAUCAGGUUACGCACCCAAUGCAUAUUGGUCCGGUAAAUUUCUGAAAUGUCCGGAGGCGCCACAUUUUCCUAACAUAAACCCUGACACACACAUAUUACAUAUAAAUGCACGAUGCCGACAGUAUGAUUGUGUGUGAUUAAUGAGUAGACAGUGUGACGCCAUCAGCCACCUCGGUACCAUGGCGACAGACAACGCAACGGCCGACAGAACUGCCAAAAUCUUGAAAAGGGAUGGGAGAACUGUGGAUGGGGCAUCGUCAUUAAAGCUAAUGAAACAUGGGACCAACACAUGUUCGUUCGGUACAGAAGAAUGGUCCACUAGAGCCGGCACUGAAGUAAUAUCUACCGUGACUCUUUAGAGACAUAGAACACAGCUACAGUAAAAUGACAAUACUGACAAUUGUUAACUUUACAGACAAUUUGAAAAAGUGCUGCAUCAGAAGAGUCUGUGCCGUUUGACAGUCGAAUUCUGCUCUUGUAUAUAAUGUUCUAUUGUUUCCCUGACAACAAUAAACGCUGUUGCUUGAUGUG